CUGGACUAACAAUGUAUAAGAUUGACGAGGCUAGGCAAUAUGCCCCUUUACAUGCACUAUGAACGAAAAGGCAAACAAUUUCAUCGUUCAAUAAUGGAACCAGAAAAGCUUGAGCAUGCCGUAAAGUUUUUUUUGUAUCCACACAGUUCAUUAAUAAUCAUUUCGAACCCGUGAACUUAAAUUAGAAAAUGGUGAUAAAAUAAUGAUUCCAAAAGGGAACUACAGACAUG
RNAcentral lists this long non-coding RNA (230 nucleotides) under Mytilus galloprovincialis (Mediterranean mussel). Lineage: Eukaryota; Metazoa; Mollusca; Bivalvia; Mytilida; Mytilidae. The record is from RNAcentral.